This 243-nucleotide long non-coding RNA is filed under the name Manihot esculenta (cassava). RNAcentral describes it as "long non-coding RNA (MESC_LNC009156)". The record is from RNAcentral. Lineage: Eukaryota; Viridiplantae; Streptophyta; Magnoliopsida; Malpighiales; Euphorbiaceae.
CCCCUUUAAGAACAUUCGUCCCCGAAUGUUCAAACAAACAGGCACAUGCAUAUACAUAACAUAAGCACAAUCAUAACAACACAUAAGCUCUAAUCUAUAAAGAAACACGGUAUCACUGGAGUAUGAACUCUCGGUCUCCCUGGUGCACUUUUCAUCUUAAGGUGAUUCUAAGGGACUUUCACCGUCGGGAUUUCCUUGUUUCCACACUUUCUAACUUGUGUGUCUGCGGUCCGUACUAGCUGC